AUGGCGGCGGGGGGUGUGUGGGUGUUCCGAAAGGACGCGGUGAUGGAGCUGCAGAGCGCGGCCGGAGGGUCGCCAACGGGCCAGGGCGUCGGCGGCCACAAGGCGCUGGUGUACCUGCCGGCUAACGAGCCCAUGCGGUCGCUGGAGGCGCUGGAGCGGCGGCUGGGGUCGCUGGGUUGGGAGCGCUACUACGAAAACGGAGACAUCGUGCAGCUCCACCGGCGCGACGGCGGCGUCGACCUCAUCGCCCUCCUGCGUGACUUUACGCGGUUCCGCUCCACCCACAUGUACGACAUCGUCGUCAAGAACCGACACCACUUCAAGGACGUCGACCUCUAG
This 339-nucleotide ribosomal RNA is filed under the name Triticum aestivum (bread wheat). RNAcentral's name for it is "partial small subunit ribosomal RNA". The record is from RNAcentral. Lineage: Eukaryota; Viridiplantae; Streptophyta; Magnoliopsida; Poales; Poaceae.